UACGUAGGCGGUAAAUUAAGUCAGUAGUGAAAUCCUGCAGCUUAACUGUAGAACUGUUAUUGAUACUGGUUUUCUUGAAUAUAGUUGAGGUAGGCGGAAUGUGUAAUGUAGCGGUGAAAUGCUUAGAUAUUACACAGAACACCGAUUGCGAAGGCAGCUUACUAAGCUAUGAUUGACGCUGAGGUACGAAAGCGUGGGGGGCGAACAGGAUUAGAUACCCUGGUAGUCC
RNAcentral lists this ribosomal RNA (229 nucleotides) under uncultured bacterium. Its description in RNAcentral is "partial 16S ribosomal RNA". It matches the Rfam family "Bacterial small subunit ribosomal RNA", at positions 568 to 796 of the family's 1533-position model. The record is from RNAcentral.